RNAcentral lists this long non-coding RNA (424 nucleotides) under Diabrotica virgifera virgifera (western corn rootworm). RNAcentral's name for it is "uncharacterized LOC126892358". The record is from RNAcentral. Lineage: Eukaryota; Metazoa; Arthropoda; Insecta; Coleoptera; Chrysomelidae.
CUGAAUCGUAUAGAACAGCUGAAAAAAAAUAUGGAAUUCCGAAGUCCACUAUAGAAUUUAAAUUAAAACAUCCGGAACAUAAAGAUACACUUGGACCGUCUCCUAUUUUAACUUGCGAGGAGGAGAAUACUCUGGUUAGAUGGAUACAAGAAACCGCUUCAAAAGGUUUCCCCAAAAAGGCUAACGAUUUAAAAAGCAGUGUGCAAAAAUUUUUAACCGAAAAUCCUCGCCCCAAUAACUUUAAAGAUAAUCGACCUGGAGAUGGAUGGUUAAAAGGAUUUUUGAAGCGACAUCCAGAGGUUUCUAAAAGGACCAGUGAAGGUGUAACGGCAGCUAGCGCUUGUGUAUCUGAACGAGACAUCAAAAACUGGUUUAAAAAUAUUGAAACCUAUGUUAAAGAAAAACAUCUAGAAGAAGUUCUAAC